GCACUCUUGUUUCUCUCCAAAUCGUAUAAAUCUUUCGCCUUUUACUAAAGAUUUCCGUGGAGAGAAACAACAAGAGUUGAAUCCAAUUUUUUUGUGCCCUGCUGAUCAGUAGGGU
This is a small nuclear RNA of Gambusia affinis (western mosquitofish), 115 nucleotides long. Its record names the gene U5. It matches the Rfam family "U5 spliceosomal RNA". From Rfam's summary of the family: U5 RNA is a component of both types of known spliceosome. The precise function of this molecule is unknown, though it is known that the 5' loop is required for splice site selection and p220 binding, and that both the 3' stem-loop and the Sm site are important for Sm protein binding and cap methylation. The record is from Ensembl. NCBI's taxonomy places the organism in Eukaryota, Metazoa, Chordata, Actinopteri, Cyprinodontiformes, Poeciliidae.